UUUUAAUAAUAGUUUUAUUAUCUUUUAUUUAUAAAACAACAAAAAAGGUUCCAUAAAUCUAAUAGUGAACAAAUAUGCAUAAAAAAGUAUAUUAACACAGAUUGCAUUGACUGAUGGCAAAAUCAUAGUUCAGUUCAGGUGUAUAUGUUGACAAGUCCGAUUUAAGGCUCGUGCCAUUAAACCAAUCAUUGAAUGUGUAACUUUCAUUGAUUUAAUAGUGUACAGUACCAUAUCCUCUAGGAAAAUUAAAGGAAUCCUGGUUUUAUUAUCUAGAAGUUUAGAUUGCAUUCAGCAAAAAUAAUCGUUUAAAGGUCAUAAUAUUUUAGUAUUAAAAAAAUAAUCCAAACCGUGCAUAUUUUCAGCAUCCACAUCCCAAGGUACCAACCCACACACGUUAUAUGUGUAAUUUUUAUUUUAUGUUUCAAUUCUGUCUUUAAAUGUGGAUUGACCUACGACAAUAGCUGAUGUGCCCUCACUGUUUGAUGAACAAUAAAUAGCAAAAUGACGCAAGAUAUCAGAAUGGAGGUAACGUUAAGGAUCUGAUAAAAUUUAAAGAUGAAAUUGGCUACACCAAAAUAGGACACACAACAGUGAUAUGAGUAUUUAGAGAAAACACUAUAUUGAUAUUAGAAUGAUAGAAAAAGUAUAAAUGCCUCAAGUAACAUCCCAGUGGAAGUGAUAGAAGCACGCAAAGGAGUAUCCCUUAUACAGCUAUUGGCACGGGGCUUACACGUAUAAAUUAAACUUUAGGGAAAACUAGGUUAUCUGCUGAGCCAGGUAUUUUUGUUUUCACCUUGUUUAUUAUAUUUACAAUUUUGCAAGUCAGUUAUCAACUCGCCUUAACUUACUGUUCACAGAUUGAUAAAAAAAAAAGUGUGUCUUGUAUGUGUUUUAUAUGUAGACAAUGGAUUGAUUUCUGCCUUUAAAUUACAUGUGUGACAACGACUUAAAGGGUACCAGUCAUAGCAUGUUAUACUUACCAUAAUCUAAAUCCUCUUCAGGUUUCUUCACUAUAUGGUGCUAGCAAAUGUAUAGAUUACUGUUUGGCUGUGUACAAGCUUAAGGGGUGGAAGGGGAGAGAGGUGUGCCAGAAGUGGGGAAGCCCUAGCAGGCCUCCCAAAGGACAUGGAUCACACCAGUGUUAAUUUUG
Molecule: non-coding RNA, 1150 nt
Organism: Pelobates cultripes (western spadefoot toad)
Lineage: Eukaryota; Metazoa; Chordata; Amphibia; Anura; Pelobatidae
Source: the annotation of a GenBank genome assembly